Molecule: ribosomal RNA, 253 nt
Filed under: uncultured bacterium
Lineage: Bacteria
Description: partial 16S ribosomal RNA
Rfam family: Bacterial small subunit ribosomal RNA
Source: RNAcentral
UACAGAGGGUUCGAGCGUUAAUCGGAAUUACUGGGCGUAAAGCGCGCGUAGGCGGCUUUGCAAGUCGAGUGUGAAAUCCCCAGGCUUAACCUGGGAACUGCAUUCGAGACUGCAUGGCUAGAGUAUGGGAGAGGGAAGUGGAAUUUCAGGUGUAGCGGUGAAAUGCGUAGAUAUCUGAAGGAACAUCAGUGGCGAAAGCGACUUCCUGGACCAAUACUGACGCUCAUGUGCGAAAGCGUGGGGAGCAAACAGG